GAUGAACGCUGGCGGCGUGCCUAAUACAUGCAAGUCGAGCGAACGGACGAGAAGCUUGCUUCUCUGAUGUUAGCGGCGGACGGGUGGGUAACACGUGGAUAACCUACCUAUAAGACUGGGAUAACUUCGGGAAACCGGAGCUAAUACCGGAUGAUACUUUGAACCGCAUGGUUCAAAAGUGAAAGACGGUCUUGCUGUCACUUAUAGAUGGAUCCGCGCUGCAUUAGCUAGUUGGUAAGGUAACGGCUUACCAAGGCAACGAUGCAUAGCCGACCUGAGAGGGUGAUCGGCCACACUGGAACUGAGACACGGUCCAGACUCCUACGGGAGGCAGCAGUAGGGAAUCUUCCGCAAUGGGCGAAAGCCUGACGGAGCAACGCCGCGUGAGUGAUGAAGGUCUUCGGAUCGUAAAACUCUGUUAUUAGGGAAGAACAUAUGUGUAAGUAACUGUGCACAUCUUGACGGUACCUAAUCAGAAAGCCACGGCUAACUACGUG
Molecule: ribosomal RNA, 497 nt
Filed under: uncultured bacterium
Lineage: Bacteria
Description: partial 16S ribosomal RNA
Rfam family: Bacterial small subunit ribosomal RNA
Source: RNAcentral